This 254-nucleotide ribosomal RNA is filed under the name uncultured bacterium. RNAcentral describes it as "partial 16S ribosomal RNA". It matches the Rfam family "Bacterial small subunit ribosomal RNA", at positions 524 to 776 of the family's 1533-position model. The record is from RNAcentral.
UACAGAGGUCCCAAGCGUUGUUCGGAUUCACUGGGCGUAAAGGGCGCGCAGGCGGCUGCUCAAGUCAGGCGUGAAAGGCCUGGGCUCAACCCGGGAAUUGCGCUUGAGACUGGGCUGGCUUGAGUGCGGGAGAGGAUGGUGGAAUUCCCAGUGUAGAGGUGAAAUUCGUAGAUAUUGGGAAGAACACCGGUGGCGAAGGCGGCCAUCUGGACCGCAACUGACGCUGAGGCGCGAAAGCGUGGGGAGCAAACAGG